GUGGGGAAUUUUGCGCAAUGGGGGAAACCCUGACGCAGCAACGCCGCGUGAGUGAUGAAGGCCUUCGGGUCGUAAAGCUCUGUCAGAGGGGAAGAAAUGCAGGGGUGCUAAUAUCAUCUUUGCUUGACGGUACCCUCAAAGGAAUCACCGGCUAACUCCGUGCCAGCAGCCGCGGUAAUACGGAGGGUGCGAGCGUUGUUCGGAAUUAUUGGGCGUAAAGCGCGUGUAGGCGGUUUGAUAAGUCUGAUGUGAAAGCCCCGGGCUCAACCUGGGAAGUGCAUUGGAAACUGUCAGACUUGAAUACGGGAGAGGGUAGUGGAAUUCCUAGUGUAGGAGUGAAAUCCGUAGAUAUUAGGAGGAACACCGGUGGCGAAGGCGGCUACCUGGACCGAUAUUGACGCUGAGACGCGAAAGCGUGGGGAGCAAACAG
RNAcentral lists this ribosomal RNA (430 nucleotides) under uncultured bacterium. Its description in RNAcentral is "bacterial SSU rRNA". It matches the Rfam family "Bacterial small subunit ribosomal RNA", at positions 354 to 775 of the family's 1533-position model. The record is from RNAcentral.